Long non-coding RNA from Canis lupus familiaris (dog), 927 nucleotides. RefSeq lists it as uncharacterized. The transcript is spliced from 3 exons. The record is from RefSeq and is a predicted model, not a curated record. Lineage: Eukaryota; Metazoa; Chordata; Mammalia; Carnivora; Canidae.
UCUCUCUCUCUCUCUCUGUCUCUCAUGAAUAAAUAAAAUCUUAAAAAAAAGAAUGAAGAAAUACCCAAAUCUCCAUUCCAUGUUGCCUUCAAAAGCAAAAACCAUGUUUAUUCCACAGUUGAUGUGUAAGCAGAGAUAGAAUGGAGACACUCCUACAAUAAAUUACUAACUCAGACUUUUGCAUCAUCUUUCAAAGAUUAUGGAGUAAUAUACCCAGGUAAGUAUUUUAAUAUAUAACUAUAAUUUAGUUUCCAGACAAUACUUGUCAUAAAAAUAUGUUCACUAAAAGAGAUUAUAAGAGCUAAUUUAGGAGUAGGUGUUUUAGGAGAGUGCAAAUAUAUUUCCUUUAAAUACUGUAAGAACACAAAUACUAUUUUAUGAUAUUUAAAAGGCUAUUUAAUCUAUGAUCAUUGUUAGUUGAAUACAAGUAAUAGCUUAUCUUUAUUGAACAUUUCCUGAAUGCCAAACAUCAUAUAGACUUAUACAUACAUAGUGUCAUUUAAUCCUCAGAGCAAACCUAUGGGCUUUAUACUAAUAUAAUUUUCAUCUUCCAGGUGAAGAAAAUGGGCUCAGAGAGGCAAAGCAACUUGGCAAAAGUCACACAGACAGGCUGGGGGUGGAAGUGUACCUGAGCUUGGCCAACCAAACGCUCCUUAGAGCCCAAGCACAUGCCUGCGGCAAGGACAAAGAAAUGGUGGGCAGGUUGGAGGAUGGUAAAAUAUCAAAGAUCAAAAAGAUUCUUAACUGGCUACACCCCUGGACAAGCUCUACUCAACUCCCAUGACUGCUUUUGUGUGGAGCCUUGUGGAAACUUCUCUGUCAGGCUGUCAUGAGGCCCUUCCUCCCUGCUGCUGACCACCUGCAAAUCUUGGAGACGUCUUGAUGGGUACAACACUGCCUGAUGAACUCUCCUUCUUCCUGUCUUCC